This is a non-coding RNA of Vigna angularis (adzuki bean), 91 nucleotides long. NCBI's taxonomy places the organism in Eukaryota, Viridiplantae, Streptophyta, Magnoliopsida, Fabales, Fabaceae. The record is from Rfam.
AUGGGAUCUGUGAUGGUGUUCUAAAACUGCGUUAUCUAUCUGUAGUUUCUUCAAAAGAACUGAAGAUAAUCGUAAUCUACUGAGAUCUUGC